RNAcentral lists this ribosomal RNA (405 nucleotides) under uncultured Eubacteriales bacterium. Its description in RNAcentral is "uncultured Clostridiales bacterium partial 16S ribosomal RNA". It matches the Rfam family "Bacterial small subunit ribosomal RNA", at positions 355 to 774 of the family's 1533-position model. The record is from RNAcentral. Lineage: Bacteria; Bacillati; Bacillota; Clostridia; Eubacteriales.
UGGGGAAUAUUGGGCAAUGGGCGCAAGCCUGACCCAGCAACGCCGCGUGAGGGAAGAAGGUCUUCGGAUUGUAAACCUCUGUAAUCGGGGACGAAAAAAAUGACGGUACCCGAGAAGUAAGCCCCGGCUAACUACGUGCCAGCAGCCGCGGUAAUACGUAGGGGGCAAGCGUUGUCCGGAAUUACUGGGCGUAAAGGGAGCGUAGGCGGCUGCUUAAGUCAGAUGUGAAAUACCAGGGCUCAACCCUGGGGCUGCAUUUGAAACUGGGCGGCUAGAGUGUAGGAGAGGUAAGUGGAAUUCCUAGUGUAGCGGUGAAAUGCGUAGAUAUUAGGAGGAACACCAGUGGCGAAGGCGACUUACUGGACUAUAACUGACGCUGAGGCUCGAAAGCGUGGGGAGCAAACA